This 72-nucleotide transfer RNA is filed under the name Pangasianodon gigas (Mekong giant catfish). RNAcentral's name for it is "tRNA-Glu". It matches the Rfam family "tRNA". Rfam says of the family: Transfer RNA (tRNA) molecules are approximately 80 nucleotides in length. The record is from RNAcentral. Lineage: Eukaryota; Metazoa; Chordata; Actinopteri; Siluriformes; Pangasiidae. RNAcentral also lists the same sequence under 1 other name.
UCCCUGGAGGACUAGUGGUUAGGCCUUGGUGCUCUCACUACCGCGGCCCGGGUUCGAUUCCCGGCCAGGGAA